GGUCCCAUAGCUCAGCUGGAUAGAGCGCUGCCCUCCGAAGGCAGAGGCCAGAGGUUCGAAUCCUCUUGGGACCGCCA
This 77-nucleotide transfer RNA is filed under the name Paracoccaceae bacterium. RNAcentral describes it as "Rhodobacteraceae bacterium (freshwater sediment metagenome) tRNA-Arg". It matches the Rfam family "tRNA". Rfam says of the family: Transfer RNA (tRNA) molecules are approximately 80 nucleotides in length. Their secondary structure includes four short double-helical elements and three loops (D, anti-codon, and T loops). The record is from RNAcentral. Lineage: Bacteria; Pseudomonadati; Pseudomonadota; Alphaproteobacteria; Rhodobacterales; Paracoccaceae. RNAcentral also lists the same sequence under 3 other names.